This 253-nucleotide ribosomal RNA is filed under the name uncultured bacterium. RNAcentral describes it as "partial 16S ribosomal RNA". It matches the Rfam family "Bacterial small subunit ribosomal RNA", at positions 524 to 776 of the family's 1533-position model. The record is from RNAcentral.
UACGUAGGUGGCAAGCGUUGUCCGGAUUUACUGGGCGUAAAGGAUGCGUAGGCGGAUUUUUAAGUGAGAUGUGAAAUCCCUAAGCUUAACUUGGGGGCUGCAUUUCAAACUGGAAGUCUAGAGUGCGGGAGAGGAAAGUGGAAUUCCUAGUGUAGCGGUGAAAUGCGUAGAGAUUAGGAAGAACACCAGUGGCGAAGGCGACUUUCUGGACCGUAACUGACGCUGAGGCAUGAAAGCGUGGGUAGCAAACAGG